RNAcentral lists this non-coding RNA (90 nucleotides) under Clostridiaceae bacterium. RNAcentral's name for it is "c-di-GMP sequence". It matches the Rfam family "c-di-GMP-I riboswitch aptamer". Rfam says of the family: GEMM was predicted in a large-scale screen for bacterial structured RNA regulatory elements. Genes associated with GEMM are involved in a diverse array of functions, including chemotaxis regulation, signal transduction, secretion and chitin. The record is from RNAcentral. Lineage: Bacteria; Bacillati; Bacillota; Clostridia; Eubacteriales; Clostridiaceae.
UCUUGUUACUGGUAAACCUGAUGAAAGUCAGGGACACAAAGCUACGGAUCUAAAGUAGAUGAUUUCUACCAUGACCGCCGGGCUGCCGAA